RNAcentral lists this long non-coding RNA (1384 nucleotides) under Bos mutus (wild yak). RNAcentral describes it as "lncRNA (ENSBMUG00000010758.1)". Lineage: Eukaryota; Metazoa; Chordata; Mammalia; Artiodactyla; Bovidae. The record is from RNAcentral.
CGGGCCGGGGAGGGCGGGGGAGGCAGAGACGCGCGAGGCCCGGCGGGCCUGCCAAGGUCACCACGGAGCCCAGCAGAGGCUUCUUUGUCACCGAGACCCUCCGCUCGAGCCCCCUCCUUGAGGGAACAGCCCCUGCAGAAAACUGGGGGUGGUACUUCCCCAAGCUUGCCUGCAAGGAUGUGGGAGGCAUGAUGGCGGGACCCCAGUGUCGGGCCGGCAGCCCCUGGUGCACCAAGCCCGCCGCCCGUCCGGGCCUGGCUAAGGUGUCACCGCAGCCCCGCGGGUGGCCGGCCAGCCUAACAACGGUACGACAUCAAAACCCCAAAGCCGCUCUGGAUCGCAUCGGCGUCCUGGGAGGAGGCUACUGGCCUGGGAGGAGGCUACUGGCCCGCUGCGCCGCCCCCGGGGUUCCUUUACCUUGACAAGCCGGCCGGCCCAGGCCGGAAGAACGCAGAGAUAUCCCUGGUCCAGGCUGUCUGUCUCGGAGGACAAGACCCUCAGCUCCGCGGGGCUUUGCGCGCACAACGCACCCCCCCCCCCCACUUCCAACCAAAGGCCUCUGGGAGAUGUAGUCCGUUCCAGGCCCUUGAGACGCGCUCUGCGGGCCAGUGGGGACCACGGUGCCCGGCGUGCACCGCGCGGGUGCCGCGGGAGGGGGCGGAGAGGGGGCUUCGGGGCCGGGGGGGCGGCUGGAGGUCGUCCCUCUCCCUGCGAGGGCCGCGAGCGCCCAGCCCUGCUCCCGAGGGACUCCACGGGAAGCCGUCUAGAAUGGUCGGGGCGACUCACCGUCGCCGCGGCACCGGCGGCAGCCGCAAUACCAAGAACGACCACCUCCGCAGCUCGCAGUCGGGCGUCUGUCAGAAGGAGGCGGGCGUGUGGGAUGUUAGUUCCCUGACCAGGGAUCCAACUGGUGCCCCUGCAUUGGAAGCGUGGGCAUUGGAAGCGUGGGGUCCCAACCACUGGACCACCAGGGAAGUUCUGCUGCUGCUGCUAAGUCGAUUCAGUCAUGUCGGACUCUGUGCGACCCCAUAGAAGGCAGCCCACCAGGCUCUGCUGUCCCUGGGAUUCUCCAGGCAAGAACACUGGAGUGGGUUGCCAUUUCCUUCUUCAAUGCAUGAAAGUGAAAAGUGAAAAGUGAAAGUCAAGUCAUUCAGUCAUACCCGACUCUUAGCGACCCCAUGGACUGCAGCCUACCAGGCUUCUCCCUCCAUGGGACCCUCCAGGCAAGAGUACUGGAGUGGGUUGCCAUUGACUUCUCCAGGGAAGUUCUAGAGGGCAUAUUUAAUGCCAUAUUCACAUUUUUAUGCUUUUGAUUGGUUCUGCUGUUUAAAAUGGCCCCCGAGCACUGGUGCAUUCAGUUUUUCUGAGUACCAGAAGAUCUUAC